RNAcentral lists this ribosomal RNA (392 nucleotides) under uncultured bacterium. RNAcentral describes it as "bacterial SSU rRNA". It matches the Rfam family "Bacterial small subunit ribosomal RNA", at positions 27 to 419 of the family's 1533-position model. The record is from RNAcentral.
GGACGAACGCUGGCGGCGUGCUUAACACAUGCAAGUCGAGCGGUAAGGCCCUUUCGGGGGUACGACGAGCGGCGAACGGGUGAGUAACACGUGGGUGACCUGCCCUCAGCUCUGGGAUAAGCCUGGGAAACCGGGUCUAAUACUGGAUAUGACUCCAUGACGCAUGUUGUGGGGUGGAAAGCCUUGUGCGGCUGAGGAUGGGCCCGCGGCCUAUCAGCUUGUUGGUGGGGUGAUGGCCUACCAAGGCGACGACGGGUAGCCGGCCUGAGAGGGCGACCGGCCACACUGGGACUGAGACACGGCCCAGACUCCUACGGGAGGCAGCAGUGGGGAAUCUUGCGCAAUGGGCGAAAGCCUGACGCAGCGACGCCGCGUGAGGGAUGACGGCCUGG